AAAGGACUGCUAAUACCUUAUAAGCUCCCGGUGUUUAGAAAACUGGGAGAAAAGUUCCGGCGCUUUGGGCGGGGACUGCGGACCAUCAGCUAGUUGGUGUGGUAACGGCACACCAAGGCGACGACGGAUAGGGGACCUGAGAGGGUGGCCCCCCACACUGGAACUGAGACACGGUCCAGACUCCUACGGGAGGCAGCAGUGAGGAAUAUUGCACAAUGGGCGCAAGCCUGAUGCAGCGACGCCGCGUGGGUGAUGAAGGUUUUCGGAUCGUAAAGCCCUUUUCUAGAUGACGAGUAAGGACGGUAGUCUAGGAAUAAGUGUCGGCUAACUACGUGCCAGCAGCCGCGGUAAAACGUAGGACACAAGCGUUAUCCGGAGUUACUGGGCGUAAAGGGCGUGUAGGCGGACCUGUAAGUCUAUUCUGAAGCUCCUGGCUAAACUGGGAGAGGCGAAUGGAGACUGCAGAUCUAGAGUGAGGAAGAGGAAAGUGGAAUUCCGCGUGUAGUGGUGAAAUGCGUAGAGAUGCGGAGGAACACCAGUGGCGAAAGCGACUUUCUGGUCCUUAACUGACGCUGAGGCGCGAAAGCAUGGGGAGCGAACGGGAUUAGAAACCCCGGUAGUCCAUGCCAUAAACGAUGUUCACUAAACGUUCGUUUCCCGCGAGGGAAGCGGGUGUUGAAGCCAACGCAGUAAGUGAACCGCCUGGGGAGUACGGUCGCAAGGCUAAAACUCAAAGGAAUUGACGGGGGACCGCACAAGCAGCGGAGCGUGUGGUUUAAUUCGAGGCUACACGAAGAACCUUACCUGGGUUUGACAUCGUGUUGAAGUGCCCAUGAAAGUGGGUAUGCCUCGCAAGAGGCAAUACGACAGGUGCUGCAUGGCUGUCGUCAGCUCGUGCCGUGAGGUGUUCGGUUAAGUCCGCAAACGAGCGCAACCCCUCGGUGCCCAGUUACAAGUGUCUGGCCCGACUGCCCGUGGCAAACGGGAAG
RNAcentral lists this ribosomal RNA (989 nucleotides) under uncultured Anaerolinea sp. Its description in RNAcentral is "bacterial SSU rRNA". It matches the Rfam family "Bacterial small subunit ribosomal RNA", at positions 154 to 1169 of the family's 1533-position model. Lineage: Bacteria; Bacillati; Chloroflexota; Anaerolineae; Anaerolineales; Anaerolineaceae. The record is from RNAcentral.